Molecule: transfer RNA, 72 nt
Filed under: Ictidomys tridecemlineatus (thirteen-lined ground squirrel)
Lineage: Eukaryota; Metazoa; Chordata; Mammalia; Rodentia; Sciuridae
Description: Spermophilus tridecemlineatus (thirteen-lined ground squirrel) tRNA
Rfam family: tRNA
About the family: Transfer RNA (tRNA) molecules are approximately 80 nucleotides in length.
Source: Rfam by way of RNAcentral
UGGGAUGUAACUCAGUGGUAGAGUGCUUGCCUAGCAUGUGUGAGGCACUGGGUUUGAUUCUCAGCACCACAU